This 459-nucleotide ribosomal RNA is filed under the name uncultured microorganism. RNAcentral's name for it is "bacterial SSU rRNA". It matches the Rfam family "Bacterial small subunit ribosomal RNA", at positions 346 to 796 of the family's 1533-position model. The record is from RNAcentral.
GCGCAGCAGGCGAGAAUAGUCUACAAUGGACGAAGGUCUGAUAGUGCGACGCCGUGUGUGCGAUUAAUUCCUUCGGGAUGUAAAGCACUUUUCUAUGAGAUAAAAGCUCUUUAGGUUAAUAGCUUAUUGAGACGGAUAUUAUUAUAGGAAUAAGCUCCGGCUAACUCCGUGCCAGCAGCCGCGGUAAUACGGAAGGAGCGAGCGUUGUCCGGAUUUACUAGGCGUAAAGGGCUAGUAGGCGACUAAUUAAGUUAUAUGUUAAAUCCCACGGCUUAACUGUGGUCCUGCAUGUAAUACUGGUUAGAUAGAGUACUGUAGAGGAAGGCAGAAUUCCUGGAGUAGCGGUGGAAUGCGCAGAUAUCAGGAAGAAUACCAAAAGCGAAGGCAGCCUUCUGGGCAGUUACUGACGCUGAAUAGCGAAGGUGUGGGUAGCGAACAGGAUUAGAUACCGCGUAGUCC